AGAAAUUUCAUUAAACUUCGUUUCUUGAAUAGCACAAUAUAAUAUGUUCAUAGCAUUAGCAUUCAAUUGUGCUAAGUCCUUUUCAUUAAUAGUUUGAGAGAAUGUGUGAAGGUCAUUUAUUAUGAUUUUCCAUAAAUAAUAGUUUUGUGAUUGAAUAAAAAUGCGCAUGCGUAUUUUCCAAUGUGUAUAGUUUAUGCCAUUAAAUAGUGGAGGUGUAUCAAUUGAUUGUCCUUCUCCUAGAAAACUAUCUAUUUGAGUUGUCAUGAUCUUUGGCUCUUGAUCGUGAGAUCAAUGAUUAAACUUAGAGCACCCGCUCUGAUACCACUUGUUGCCCAGUAGAUACAACCCAAGAGGGGGGUGAAUUGGGUCUUUUAAAACUUUUAUGCUACUUCUAAAACUUUUUGAUUUACUAUGCUAAGUUGUAUAGAUGCACAGUGAAAGUUAAACUUAGCAAGAGUUUGAUGUAUAGACUUCGACUUGAUUAAAUAUGCUUGCAACUAAAGGAUAUGC
Molecule: long non-coding RNA, 510 nt
Filed under: Phoenix dactylifera (date palm)
Lineage: Eukaryota; Viridiplantae; Streptophyta; Magnoliopsida; Arecales; Arecaceae
Description: long non-coding RNA (PDAC_LNC001357)
Source: RNAcentral